Long non-coding RNA from Carlito syrichta (Philippine tarsier), 368 nucleotides. RefSeq lists it as uncharacterized. The record is from RefSeq and is a predicted model, not a curated record. Lineage: Eukaryota; Metazoa; Chordata; Mammalia; Primates; Tarsiidae. The transcript is spliced from 2 exons.
AGCACAGGACGAGGGGAUCCUGUCCUCGGGCAGACGGGGCGCGGUGAGAGGUCCUGCCCGAUAAGCUCUAGGGGCUCGGGCUGCCUUCCCUCCCACGUGGAGACCCAGGGGCUACCUUUACCCCACUUCAGGGCACCCGAGCACCCUCAGCCGGAGUUGGGGCCGGCACCCUGAGCUCCAGCCGCCGCAACAGCUCUGAUCCCCAUGGGAGGCCACCCUUGGGUGCACCCCCCGGGUGUGUGUGUGUGAAGGUUGGUUGAGCUGCCGGGAACUCCUGCCAGGGUGGGGGAGUGAGAAGGGGAGUCACCACUCCUCCCCGCCCAGGGCCCUUCCCAAAGAGUCCUCUAAAUAAAGAGCUACGUAGGUGC